AACGAACGCUGGCGGCAUGCCUAACACAUGCAAGUCGAACGAGAUCUUCGGGUCUAGUGGCGCACGGGUGCGUAACGCGUGGGAAUCUGCCCUUGGUUCGGAAUAACAGUUGGAAACGACUGCUAAUACCGGAUGAUGACGAAAGUCCAAAGAUUUAUCGCCAGAGGAUGAGCCCGCGUAGGAUUAGCUAGUUGGUGUGGUAAAGGCGCACCAAGGCGACGAUCCUUAGCUGGUCUGAGAGGAUGAUCAGCCACACUGGGACUGAGACACGGCCCAGACUCCUACGGGAGGCAGCAGUGGGGAAUAUUGGACAAUGGUCGAAAGCCUGAUCCAGCAAUGCCGCGUGAGUGAUGAAGGCCUUAGGGUUGUAAAGCUCUUUUACCCGGGAUGAUAAUGACAGUACCGGGAGAAUAAGCUCCGGCUAAUUCCGUGCCAGCAGCCGCGGUAA
RNAcentral lists this ribosomal RNA (448 nucleotides) under uncultured bacterium. Its description in RNAcentral is "partial 16S ribosomal RNA". It matches the Rfam family "Bacterial small subunit ribosomal RNA", at positions 29 to 523 of the family's 1533-position model. The record is from RNAcentral.